AUUGAACGCUGGCGGAAUGCUUUACACAUGCAAGUCGAACGGCAGCACGGACUUCGGUCUGGUGGCGAGUGGCGAACGGGUGAGUAAUACAUCGGAACGUGCCCAGUCGUGGGGGAUAACGUAGCGAAAGCUACGCUAAUACCGCAUACGAUCUAAGGAUGAAAGCGGGGGAUCGCAAGACCUCGCGCGAUUGGAGCGGCCGAUGGCAGAUUAGGUAGUUGGUGGGGUAAAGGCCUACCAAGCCGACGAUCUGUAGCUGGUCUGAGAGGACGACAAGCCACACGGGGACUGAGACACGGCCCAGACUCCUACGGGAGGCAGCAGUGGGGAAUUUUGGACAAUGGGCGCAAGCCUGAUCCAGCCAUUCCGCGUGCAGGAUGAAGGCCCUCGGGUUGUAAACUGCUUUUGUACGGAACGAAAAGGCUCUGGUUAAUACCCGGGGCUCAUGACGGUACCGUAAGAAUAAGCACCGGCUAACUACGUGCCAGCCGCCGCGGUAA
This 500-nucleotide ribosomal RNA is filed under the name uncultured bacterium. RNAcentral's name for it is "partial 16S ribosomal RNA". It matches the Rfam family "Bacterial small subunit ribosomal RNA", at positions 30 to 523 of the family's 1533-position model. The record is from RNAcentral.